RNAcentral lists this ribosomal RNA (429 nucleotides) under Gemmatimonadota bacterium. RNAcentral's name for it is "Gemmatimonadetes bacterium partial 16S ribosomal RNA". It matches the Rfam family "Bacterial small subunit ribosomal RNA", at positions 355 to 776 of the family's 1533-position model. Lineage: Bacteria; Pseudomonadati; Gemmatimonadota. The record is from RNAcentral.
UAGGGAAUCUUCGGCAAUGGACGAAAGUCUGACCGAGCAACGCCGCGUGAGUGAAGAAGGUUUCCGGAUCGUAAAACUUUGUUGUUAGAGUAGAACAAGGACGUUAGUAACUGAACGUCCCCUGACGGUAUCUAACCAGAAAGCCACGGCUAACUACGUGCCAGCAGCCGCGGUAAUACGCAGGUGGCAAGCGUUGCCCGGAUUGAUUGGGCGUAAAGCGAUCGCAGGCGGUUUCUUAAGUCUGAUGUGAAAGCCCCCGGCUCAACCGGGGAGGGUCAUUGGAAACUGGGGGCCUAGAGUGCAGAAGGGGAGAGUGGAAUUUCAUGUGUAGCGGUGAAAUACGUAAAUAUAUGGAGGAACACCAGUGGCGAAGGCGGCUCUCUGGUCUGUAGCUGACGCUGAGGCUCGAAAACGUGGGGAGCAAACAGG